RNAcentral lists this ribosomal RNA (357 nucleotides) under Triticum aestivum (bread wheat). RNAcentral describes it as "partial small subunit ribosomal RNA". The record is from RNAcentral. Lineage: Eukaryota; Viridiplantae; Streptophyta; Magnoliopsida; Poales; Poaceae.
AUGGGGGGUUCUGACAACCCGGAGAUUCCCAGCCCAGCUCAACCGGCCGAUGACCCGGAUGUGGUGAUUACCCGGACCGAAUAUGUUGAGCCGGGAAGACCCACUGUGCUGGCUAGAUGCUCUGCUAAAGAAGAACUGCUAGAGCGCCGCAGGGCCAGACUGGAUAUCACAGACUAUGCUAACUUGAGCAUUGGAGAUAUUGUUGCUGGUUAUAUUGGUCAAGUGCACAACAGCCGGGACCUGGAAAUUGACAUGGUGAAGCAGAUACAGCAAAAAUCUGAGGCUGCCUGCAAAAAACUUGAGUCAGAAAUCUCUGAUCUGAAGACCCGCCUGAAGACUCAGGAAAAGGAGACCUAG